UUUGAAAGCUGGAAAGAGUCAGAAGAAGCGGCCAAUGGACCCUCGACAUGGAAACACUUUUGUUUUUACCAUAAAUAAAGAGGGUUAUGAAGAAUAAGACAAAGGGAUCUUUCAGAAAAAUACAUUUCAACAUCGGAUUACUACUAACCACAAGUAAAAUGAAUGUACGCUUCAACUCAUGGGUAAUCAUCCCAAAUGUUGCUGACUGCACUGAAUUCUGGCCCUGCAAGAAGCCUGCCUCUGAACAUGUUAAUAACCAGCCUUUCAGCAUGAGGGUUGUAUAUGUGGCUGUCAUUAAAGUUAUAAGGUUGCAAACCUCAUCUACUUAUAGAUUAGCCUACGCUCCUUUUAGAAUAUAACAAGAAUAUGAUCUUGUUGGAGGGUCCUAAGUAGUCCUUCAAGUACCACAUAUACCAUCCUCCUAAAUAAUACCCCAAAUGAUAUCCUGAGUAAGCAUCAAUAUUUUAGUCACAGCCUCAAACGUACUUACACACUUGGUAAUGGAAAACUGUUAGCAGUUACAAGAGAGGAGCAAUUUACAAGAGAUGGAGAUCUGCAUCAACACAAUAAAGCAGUAAAACCAUAUUGUUAUAUGAUUGUUUUUAGCCAGUGUACUUCCUGAGAUGCUUGCUCCAGCCAACAUAUUUUCCAGCAAAGAAGGAAGUGUAAAUAAAAGGAUUAUACCAUUGUUUAACGGUACUCUGUCAUUGCAUUGCUACAUAUUAAGAAGUAUAACCGUAUUUAAAUAAGUAAAGAUUUUUCAAUUGUU
This is a long non-coding RNA of Xenopus laevis (African clawed frog), 769 nucleotides long. RefSeq lists it as uncharacterized. The record is from RefSeq and is a predicted model, not a curated record. NCBI's taxonomy places the organism in Eukaryota, Metazoa, Chordata, Amphibia, Anura, Pipidae. The transcript has 3 exons.